Molecule: transfer RNA, 72 nt
Filed under: Camelus bactrianus (Bactrian camel)
Lineage: Eukaryota; Metazoa; Chordata; Mammalia; Artiodactyla; Camelidae
Also listed under: 1 other name
Rfam family: tRNA
About the family: Transfer RNA (tRNA) molecules are approximately 80 nucleotides in length. Their secondary structure includes four short double-helical elements and three loops (D, anti-codon, and T loops). Further hydrogen bonds mediate the characteristic L-shaped molecular structure. tRNAs have two regions of fundamental functional importance: the anti-codon, which is responsible for specific mRNA codon recognition, and the 3' end, to which the tRNAs corresponding amino acid is attached (by aminoacyl-tRNA synthetases). tRNAs cope with the degeneracy of the genetic code in two manners: having more than one tRNA (with a specific anti-codon) for a particular amino acid; and 'wobble' base-pairing, i.e. permitting non-standard base-pairing at the 3rd anti-codon position.
Source: Rfam by way of RNAcentral
GAGGGUGUAGCUCAGCGAUAGAGUGCAUGCUUAGCAUGCAUGAGGUCCUGGGUUCAGUCCCCAGUAUUUCCA